CUGGCUCAGGAUGAACGCUAGCGGCAGGCCUAAUACAUGCAAGUCGGACGGGAUUSARRUWWWAGCUUGCUWWRAWMUSAUGAGAGUGGCGCACGGGUGCGUAACGCGUGAGCAACCUACCCAUAUCAGGGGGAUAGCCUCUCGAAAGAGAGAUUAACACCGCAUAACAUGAGUAAGGCAUCGUUUUUCAAUCAAAUAUUUAUAGGAUAGGAUGGGCUCGCGUGACAUAGCUAGUGGAGAGGUAACGGCUCACCAAGGCUACGAGUCUAGGGGCUCUGAGAGGAGAAUCCCCCACACUGGUACUGAGACACGGACCAGACUCCUACGGGAGGCAGCAGUAAGGAAUAUUGGUCAAUGGAGGGAACUCUGAACCAGCCAUGCCGCGUGCAGGAUGACUGCCCUACGGGUUGUAAACUGCUUUUGUCAGGGAAUAAACCUUUCCACGAGUGGGAAGCUGAAUGUACCUGAAGAAUAAGGAUCGGCUAACUCCGUGCCAGCAGSCGCGGUAAURSGGAGGAUCCGAGC
RNAcentral lists this ribosomal RNA (525 nucleotides) under Sphingobacterium kitahiroshimense. Its description in RNAcentral is "partial 16S ribosomal RNA". It matches the Rfam family "Bacterial small subunit ribosomal RNA", at positions 19 to 539 of the family's 1533-position model. Lineage: Bacteria; Pseudomonadati; Bacteroidota; Sphingobacteriia; Sphingobacteriales; Sphingobacteriaceae. The record is from RNAcentral.